Long non-coding RNA from Heterocephalus glaber (naked mole-rat), 978 nucleotides. RefSeq lists it as uncharacterized. The record is from RefSeq and is a predicted model, not a curated record. Lineage: Eukaryota; Metazoa; Chordata; Mammalia; Rodentia; Bathyergidae.
GUGUGGUUGGAACAUAGAUUAUUACAGGGAACCACACAUCGCCCUAUUAUCUUUGCCACUUGUGGAAGGAACUCCGAAGUCUUCUUUCCUAACUGCGCGGACCUGGCUGCCUCCAGGUCCUCAAUGGGUCCAAAACGUUUGCCCUUCGCAGUCGUUCUGACUAGGGAAGAGCCAGAAGUCAGGUGCCAGAUGAGCGAGCAAGGUGGCCAGGAUCCGCCGGUAUAUUUUCACGAGGGAUGCCUUUCCGGCGUGGCCUCGGCAGCAGCACUAACCGCGGUUUUGAUCACACCAUGUAAAGGACGCUCAUGGCAGAGAACUUGCAGAGCUGCUUCAGAGAGUGGCAAGAACGGAGGAAGUUGUGCUCUGAUAAUAAAAGUCCAGCUGGAAUAUCACAGAAAAAUGAUUUUUAAGCUUCUAAAUUUUUGGUUAAGCCACCAUUCCAUUAAGAAGGUACACAAAGUCUAAGGUCCACAGAUCUACCCCAUUCAGUCUGCAGACAGAUUGACCAGUCUCCCUCAUUGGGUCAGCCCAGGUCUACUCUAGUAAGUACAUGUCCAGAAUUCCUGGGCUCUCCCUCUCUGAGUGUGCUGUGAUCUGACUGUCAGGAGCAAUUCUACAUGAUUUUGGGGAAAAAUCAUUUCACAAUUAAAUCAUGAUUAGGGCCUAGUUCUCCUGCCUACAGGCCAGCUAUGGCAUGUCGAGACGUAACUCCAUCUUCUCUUCUGGUCACACCUAAAACCUCAAUGGUCCAGUGAUGCUGUGAUUCUCCAGAACAAGAUUACACCAGCUGAAGACAUCCAGGGAGGAACAAAAUCUUCAUCUGCAUAGAUCCUCCUGUUCUAGGAUUUUCACUGCUGCUGCAGCUGCCCUUUGAGUCACCUUUUACAUUUGUUACUUUCCUGAUGUAGUGAGCUCUUUCAGCCCUGAGUCAUCUGUUACAUUUGUUUCUCCUGAUGUACUGAAUAAAGGUGUGGCAAG